GAAGGGGAAGCUGCAGCUGCAGAGCAGCCUCAAACAGGAGGCCUUCCAGCAGGUGGAGAAGCUGCAGAGCCAGCUCAGCCACAUGGAGGCGCUGUGCAGACAAAGCUCAGCUGCAGGUCAGAGCCGGACAUAUUGCACGCUGUCGCUCAGCAGAUUGAGCACCAGAAGCCCCUCAGCAGGUCCGGGCAGGAGCGCUCAGCGGACUCUUGGCAGCUCGGCGGCCUUCGGCACUCUUCGGGGCCUCACAGCAGAGCCGAGACACGA
Molecule: long non-coding RNA, 264 nt
Organism: Salarias fasciatus (jewelled blenny)
Lineage: Eukaryota; Metazoa; Chordata; Actinopteri; Blenniiformes; Blenniidae
Exons: 3
Source: RefSeq, a predicted model, not a curated record